GAUGAACGCUGGCGGCGUGCCUAACACAUGCAAGUCGAGCGAAGCGGGGACGGGUGAGUAACACGUGGGUAACCUCCUUUAAGACUGGGAUAACCUCGGGAAACCGGAACUAAACCGGAUACUGAUAGCUGCAUCCGCGCUGCAUUAGCUAGUUGGUAAGGUAACGGCGUACCAAGGCGACGAGCCCUAGCUGGUCUGAGAGGAGGACCAGCCACACUGGAACUGAGACACGGCCCAGACUCCUACGGGAGGCAGCAGUAGGGAAUCUUGCGCAAUGGACGAAAGUCUGACGCAGCAAGGCCGCGUGAGUGAAGAAGGUUUUCGGAUCGUAAAGCACUGUUGGUAGGGAGGCGGUACCUACACAGAAAGCAACGGCUAACUACGUGCCAGCAGCCGCGGUAAUUC
Molecule: ribosomal RNA, 405 nt
Filed under: uncultured bacterium
Lineage: Bacteria
Description: partial 16S ribosomal RNA
Rfam family: Bacterial small subunit ribosomal RNA
Source: RNAcentral